Molecule: long non-coding RNA, 445 nt
Filed under: Equus asinus (donkey)
Lineage: Eukaryota; Metazoa; Chordata; Mammalia; Perissodactyla; Equidae
Description: lncRNA (ENSEASG00005030118.1)
Source: RNAcentral
CCAGCCCUGACCCUUAGGUCUUAGGAAGAACACUCAGCCAUUAGACCUCAGGCCCCAUGCCCUGACCCCAGGCAGAAAGCCAUGUCCUGCAUCCAGGGAUCCAGAAGAGUCCAAAGAACAUAGAAGGAAUGCUGAUCACAGCUCCGGAUCUAGAGGAACAAUGACUAUAAUUAGCUUCAUCUGCCCGUCAAGCAAGGAAUGUCUCUGAAGCCAUGUGCUGAUGACCAGGCAGAGAGGCUGGCAGAGAGCUGGGAUGGAAGUGCUGUGUGUUGAAUUUCCAAGUUCCUGAAGGAAGCCUCACGCCUCGUAGUGACAGUAAGAUGGUGACAUACAAAAGUCAGCUGGGAUCACUGUCGGAGGAUCUGUAAGGUCCUUUUCAGUAAAUGAGAAAACACAGGUGAAGCUGCGAGUCCAGUGCUUGGCAUGGAAUAGAAACUCAACAAGU